AUUGAACGCCGGCGGCAUGCCUUACACAUGCAAGUCGAACGGCAGCACGGGUGCUUGCACCUGGUGGCGAGUGGCGAACGGGUGAGGAAUACAUCGGAACGUACCUUAUCGUGGGGGAUAACGCAGCGAAAGCUGUGCUAAUACCGCAUACGCCCUGAUGGGGAAAGCGGGGGAUCGAAAGACCUCGCGCGAUUAGAGCGGCCGAUGCCUGAUUAGCGUGGUGGUGGGGUAAAAGCCCACCAAGGCGACGAUCAGUAGCUGGUCUGAGAGGACGAUCAGCCACACUGGGACUGAGACACGGCCCAGACUCCUACGGGAGGCAGCAGUGGGGAAUUUUGGACAAUGGGGGCAACCCUGAUCCAGCAAUGCCGCGUGAGUGAAGAAGGCCUUCGGGUUGUAAAGCUCUUUUGUCAGGGGAGAAACACCGGCUCUAACACAGUCCGGGAAUGACGGUACCUGAAGAAUAAGCACCGGCUAACUACGUGCCAGCCGCCGCCGUAA
Molecule: ribosomal RNA, 501 nt
Filed under: uncultured bacterium
Lineage: Bacteria
Description: partial 16S ribosomal RNA
Rfam family: Bacterial small subunit ribosomal RNA
Source: RNAcentral